AUUUAAAGCAUUGGCUGGAAAACAAGGAGGUGGUGCGGCUACAAGUUGCUUCAAUGCUGGAAAGGUUAGCGUUGUUAAUUUGAUUGGUGAAGAGAAUUGGUCGAACAUCUGCAAAUAAGAUGCAAAACC
RNAcentral lists this ribosomal RNA (129 nucleotides) under Proboscia inermis. RNAcentral describes it as "partial Microsporidia small subunit ribosomal RNA". Lineage: Eukaryota; Bacillariophyta; Melosirophyceae; Probosciales; Probosciaceae. The record is from RNAcentral.